This 211-nucleotide ribosomal RNA is filed under the name Papulosaceae sp. RNAcentral's name for it is "partial large subunit ribosomal RNA". Lineage: Eukaryota; Fungi; Ascomycota; Sordariomycetes; Papulosaceae. The record is from RNAcentral.
AAGCGCUUGUGACCAGACUUGUGCCCGGUGAAUCAUCCAGCGUUCUCGCUGGUGCACUUUGCCGGGCUCAGGCCAGCAUCGGUUCUCCCAGGGGGAUAAAGGUCUCGGGAACGUAGCUCUCUUCGGGGAGUGUUAUAGCCCGUGGCAUAAUACCUUUGGGGGGACCGAGGACCGCGCUCUGCAAGGAUGCUGGCGUAAUGGUCAUCAGCGA